UACGGGGGGUGCGAGCGUUGUCCGGAAUCACUGGGCGUAAAGGGCGCGUAGGUGGCCUGAUAAGGGUGUGGUGAAAGUCCGGGGCUCAACCCCGGAUCUGCCGUGCCGACUGUUAGGCUAGAGUACUGUAGGGGCAGGCGGAAUUCCGGGUGUAGCGGUGGAAUGCGUAGAGAUCCGGAAGAACACCGGUGGCGAAGGCGGCCUGCUGGGCAGUUUAGCUGACACUGAGGCGCGACAGCGUGGGGAGCAAACAGG
RNAcentral lists this ribosomal RNA (255 nucleotides) under uncultured bacterium. RNAcentral describes it as "partial 16S ribosomal RNA". It matches the Rfam family "Bacterial small subunit ribosomal RNA", at positions 524 to 776 of the family's 1533-position model. The record is from RNAcentral.